UACGUAGGGGCCUAGCGUUGUCCGGAAUUAUUGGGCGUAAAGAGCUCGUAGGCGGUUCGGCAAGUCGGAUGUGAAAUCCCCGGGCUUAACCUGGGAAUGGCAUUGGUGACUGCACGGCUAGAGUGUGUCAGAGGGGGGUAGAAUUCCACGUGUAGCAGUGAAAUGCGUAGAGAUGUGGAGGAAUACCGAUGGCGAAGGCAGCCCCCUGGGAUAACACUGACGCUCAUGCACGAAAGCGUGGGGAGCAAACAGG
Molecule: ribosomal RNA, 253 nt
Filed under: uncultured bacterium
Lineage: Bacteria
Description: partial 16S ribosomal RNA
Rfam family: Bacterial small subunit ribosomal RNA
Source: RNAcentral